GAGUUUGAUUAUGGCUCAGGACGAACGCUGGCGGCGUGCUUAACACAUGCAAGUCGAACGUGAUUUUUGUGGAAGUUCCUUCGGGAAUGGAAGCGAAAUGAAAGUGGCGAACGGGUGAGUAACACGUGAGCAACCUACCUUACACAGGGGGAUAGCCGUUGGAAACGACGAUUAAUACCGCAUGAGACCACAGAAUCGCAUGAUAUAGGGGUCAAAGAUUUAUCGGUGUAAGAAGGGCUCGCGUCUGAUUAGCUAGUUGGAAGGGUAAAGGCCUACCAAGGCGACGAUCAGUAGCCGGUCUGAGAGGAUGAACGGCCACAUUGGAACUGAGACACGGUCCAAACUCCUACGGGAGGCAGCAGUGGGGAAUAUUGCACAAUGGGGGGAACCCUGAUGCAGCGACGCCGCGUGAGCGAAGAAGGUUUUCGAAUCGUAAAGCUCUGUCCUAUGAGAAGAUAAUGACG
Molecule: ribosomal RNA, 464 nt
Filed under: Parvimonas sp. canine oral taxon 102
Lineage: Bacteria; Bacillati; Bacillota; Tissierellia; Tissierellales; Peptoniphilaceae
Description: bacterial SSU rRNA
Rfam family: Bacterial small subunit ribosomal RNA
Source: RNAcentral